AGAGUUUGAUCAUGGCUCAGGACGAACGCUGGCGGCGUGCUUAACACAUGCAAGUCGAACGGUGAUCCGGGUACUUGUACCUGGUGAUCAGUGGCGAACGGGUGAGUAACACGUGAGUAACCUGCCCUCCACUCUGGGAUAACUCCGGGAAACCGGGGCUAAUACCGGAUAUGACGCCAACCCGCAUGGGUAUGGUGUGGAAAGUUUUUCGGUGGAGGAUGGACUCGCGGCCUAUCAGCUUGUUGGUGAGGUAAUGGCUCACCAAGGCGACGACGGGUAGCCGGCCUGAGAGGGCGACCGGCCACACUGGGACUGAGACACGGCCCAGACUCCUACGGGAGGCAGCAGUGGGGAAUAUUGCACAAUGGGCGAAAGCCUGAUGCAGCGACGCCGCGUGAGGGAUUAAGGCCUUCGGGUUGUAAACCUCUUUCAGCAGGGAAGAAGCGAAAGUGACGGUACCUGCAGAAGAAGCACCGGCUAACUACGUGCCAGCAGCCGCGGUAAUACGUAGGGUGCGAGCGUUGUCCGGAAUUAUUGGGCGUAAAGAGCUUGUAGGCGGUUUGUCGCGUCUGCUGUGAAAUCUCAAGGCUCAACCUUGAGCUUGCAGUGGGUACGGGCAGACUAGAGUGUGGUAGGGGAGACUGGAAUUCCUGGUGUAGCGGUGAAAUGCGCAGAUAUCAGGAGGAACACCGAUGGCGAAGGCAGGUCUCUGGGCCACUACUGACGCCGAGAAGCGAAAGCAUGGGGAGCGAACAGGAUUAGAUACCCUAGUAGUCC
Molecule: ribosomal RNA, 777 nt
Filed under: uncultured bacterium
Lineage: Bacteria
Description: bacterial SSU rRNA
Rfam family: Bacterial small subunit ribosomal RNA
Source: RNAcentral